Long non-coding RNA from Capsicum annuum, 924 nucleotides. RefSeq lists it as uncharacterized. The transcript has 2 exons. Lineage: Eukaryota; Viridiplantae; Streptophyta; Magnoliopsida; Solanales; Solanaceae. The record is from RefSeq and is a predicted model, not a curated record.
UUCUUGACUUUAAACAAAUAAAAAACUUUGACUUUCUCUUUCUUGACAUCAAACAAGUUCUUUAUACUUCAGUCUUCAAACAAGACCAACAAAAAUCUUUGGGUUUUUUUAAAGUGCUUUGGAUUUCCGUCUCCAACGACCAGAAUCGAACUUCUGCUGCUCUGUCAAGUUGAAAAAGGACAAACUAAGCUUUCAAUGUAGAUUUCCCUAUCAUUAUUGCUGUCAAGGUUAGUAAUGUUUGUAUAUUUAUAUGAGUCAUCUUUUGUAUUAUAUAUAAUGUAAGGUUGUGGAUGAAUGAACAACAUUUCACCUUUGUUUGACAUGAAACAAGGCGACCCAUUGCAACAUCCCUCAAUAUGGAGCUUAUAACGGUCGUCUUCAAUGGGAUAACCCAAGUCAACAGCCUCAUUAACAGAGUUAUUAAAUAAAGAUGCAACAUGCAAGUCUCUAUAACACCAUUUAUCUCCAAACUUAAGAUCAUUCAAAACAAGCAAAUGGAGCAUCUCUUCCUUAUUAGCUGAUAAACUGAGAUGGGUGUCGAUAAAUUCAGGGCUAGAGAUUAAAGCAAGCCAAGUUUUCGAAAUAGAUCUGAAUGUCAAUAGAGAUUUUACCGAAAGCUUGGAGAGGAUUUCAGUGAUGAUUUCUGGUGGCAAAAUACACAUUGAAUCUGCUGGAAAUUGAGUAACAUUGGAAGAGCCUUCUUCACCUUCCAUUGAUCAGUAAGACAGAGUCACAAAUGACCAUUUGUAUACACCCAACACCAACCUUCAAUUUUUUUCUCAAUUUAUAUACUCCCACCACGUGUCAAGUUAUCCGCGGUGAUUUCAAAGUAGUACACAAGUUUUUCUCAACUGUACAUCUACUUCUACUCCCACCAUGUGUCAUGUUAUGUGUGGUGAUUUCAAAAUAGUACACAAAUUAUUC